UACGAGAGGUGCAAACGUUAUUCGGAAUCAUUGGGCGUAAAGGGUGUGUAGACGGCAUAUUAAGUCAAUUGUUAAAUCCUCCGGCCUAACCGGAGAUGUGCGAUAGAUACUGAUGUGCUAGAGGGUGGAAGAGAGAAGUGGAAUUCUCGGAGUAGCGGUAAAAUGCGUGGAUCUCGAGAGGAACACCAAUGGCGAAGGCAACUUCUUGGGCCACUCCUGACGUUGAGACACGAAAGUGUGGGGAGCAAACAGG
Molecule: ribosomal RNA, 253 nt
Filed under: uncultured bacterium
Lineage: Bacteria
Description: partial 16S ribosomal RNA
Rfam family: Bacterial small subunit ribosomal RNA
Source: RNAcentral